Molecule: long non-coding RNA, 1059 nt
Organism: Cariama cristata (Red-legged seriema)
Lineage: Eukaryota; Metazoa; Chordata; Aves; Cariamiformes; Cariamidae
Exons: 2
Source: RefSeq, a predicted model, not a curated record
CUUACUACUGUCGUUAAACAUCGCUUUUCUUUCAGGUAUUAGCAAUGCAGAAGCCCGUCAACCAGGGAAAGCACCAAACUUCAGUGUGAACUGGACAGUGGGAGACACUGGUCUUGAAGUUAUUAAUGCGACAACUGGCAAAGAUGAAAUGGGUCGUGCAUCUCGCCUUUGUAAGCAUGCUUUUUACAGCCGCUGGAUGCGUAUUCAUGCAAAGCUUUCCUCCAGCUUGCGCUCGAAGGUCCUCAAGCCUAACCUGUACCACGAAACCAAGCAAGGAGCCACUGAGUAUCAAACUGCCAAAGAGUGUUUGUUUAAAGCGUUCCUGAAGGCAGGACUUGGAGCCUGGGUGGAGAAGCCCAUAGAACAGGAUCAGUUUUCUCUCACUGUCUGAUUCACAGACUGCACAUCACUUUGGAAAGGGGGUUGUUCUGGAAAUUCCUGGUGUCCAGCAUUGCUUUCUGGCAUCUCCACAGCCAUCAAAACAUCUUUUUAUUGUUUGGAGUUGGGUUUUUUCCUUUGUUUUUUGAAACUUCAUAGUAACUGUUUCUGUUUUGCCGAAGUAUUGAAACUCAAUGAUGGUCUGACACAUAAUUGUAUAUUUUGUUAUGGGAAGGUAAUUUCUGGUGUAUUUCUAGAAAUACUUUUUCUGUAGAACACUUGCAGUAAGGCUGUCCUUACAGUAUACAAUGACUCAUUUUUUCUGGGUUAAAAUAAUUUCUUUUUUUAAUUCAAUGUCAUUAAGUGCAUGAAGAAAUGAAAGUUUCUCUAGAUUUUACACCACACUUUUAGGAAGUAGCUUAAUUUUUUUAAAAGAAAAUAAGUGACAAAGCUGAUUCUACUCCUCUGUUAACUUGUUUUUGAACUGCAGAUAUUUCUAGCAUAUAGACCACAGAGCUAGAAUGGAGUCUGGACAGCUAGUUUUUCCCCACUUCCUUGCUCUUUAAAACCAGCUGCUGAAAAUUUCAUGUCUUUGAUGUAUGUAUUUAUUAGUCUGUGACCCAGUUUUUAACAUGCAGCUUUUUAUUCUGUUUUUAAAAAUACAUUUACCUCCCAUUUACA